AGUCACUCGACCUGGGGGUCGAGUAUGGUGCUGGAUGCACACGACCUGGUGGUCGAGUAUGUCUUCUGGUUCUGGCUCGUUUCUUCCAAUUUGCUCGCAAACAGCUCCAAAUCACCUGAAAAUAACUGAGAAAUGCAAUAUGUAUGCAAAGCUAUCCUAAUCAUGCAAAGUAUGCAAGAAUGAUGAGAAAUGAUAUAAAAUAGUGAUGAAUGAUACGAAACUGGACUCAAAACGAUGAUGAAUGGACACUGGAAACAUGCAAAUUAUAGACAUAUCAACUCCCCCAAACUUAGUCUUUGCUUGCCCUCAAGCAAAUAAGAAGACAUAGUUGAAGGAGAGGUUUGAAGGCGGGGACUCAGAACCAAAGCAUAUGAUAGAGCAAAUAAAAUCAAUGUCCAAGUUGGUAGUUCUAAGAUGAGAUAUG
This 424-nucleotide small RNA is filed under the name Arabidopsis thaliana (thale cress). RNAcentral describes it as "ATSL031860". Lineage: Eukaryota; Viridiplantae; Streptophyta; Magnoliopsida; Brassicales; Brassicaceae. The record is from RNAcentral.